This 88-nucleotide unclassified non-coding RNA is filed under the name Pseudomonas palleroniana. Lineage: Bacteria; Pseudomonadati; Pseudomonadota; Gammaproteobacteria; Pseudomonadales; Pseudomonadaceae. The record is from RNAcentral.
GUGGGAGGGGGCUUGCUCCCGAUAGCGAUGGGCCAGUCAGCUUAAUGUGCAACUGACCCGCUGCAAUCGGGAGCAAGCCCCCUGCCAC